Molecule: long non-coding RNA, 38657 nt
Filed under: Citrus x clementina
Lineage: Eukaryota; Viridiplantae; Streptophyta; Magnoliopsida; Sapindales; Rutaceae
Description: Citrus clementina (C. clementina) long non-coding RNA (CCLE_LNC004323)
Source: RNAcentral
UCCUCCUCAUCUCGCCACCUGUUUCCCCCACUACACCCCCAAAACGUCACCGUUUCAUUCUCACUCCUUCCUCACACCCCUCUCCUUUUCCCCACAUUCCUUCGUUUCAUAUCAACUCAAAAAUUCAUUCUUUCAACAUUAAUAAUAAUAAUUUUAUUGAAAUAAAUCAAUCAAAAAGGUAACCCCAAAUAUCUCCUCCAGCUUUUUGCUGCUUCUUAAUUUUGAUCGACUAUGACGAUGUACUAAAGCUUCAAUUUUUUUCGGUUUUUUCAGUCAACGCUUUUGCUUCAAGAUUUCGUUUUACCUUCCUUGAAAAUUAAAGCUCACCUAAUUGAUACGAUUAAAAUUCUUUUUUUAGCUGAAGAUUGAUACAAUUUUCACUUCAUUUUUUUCUUAACUUUGUAUCCGGAUUUGCUACUUUUGUUUAAAGUUUUUUAUUUUUUUUAUAUUUUUCUGUGGAGCUAAGCAUGACUUUGGUUACAGCUUUAUAUUAUUUUAACAUAUAAUUAGACUAAUUUAUUUAUUUGUGGAUUUAUUAUUUUUUAAAUAUGGUUUGAGACUUCUGAUGUUUCAAUAUUUAUUGCACACGUGUAGUGCAGUGGCUUUAAUGAAUGUGGUAUUGUAAAGUUUAAAGCUUUUUGCAUGUGAAUGAGUUGGUGUGUACUCUUCCAUUGAUGUUUAGAUUCAUGUAUGUGGUGAUCUCUGAUCUGGGUACACGUUAGAUUUUAAUUUUAUUGUUACUUAAACUGAUGAACACGAAUUUUGAAGUGAAUACGUGUGUUUGAUUGACUGGAUUUUGUAAGAUUCCUUUGUAGAAGUAUUUUAAUCCCACGAAGAGUAUGAUUCAGCAAAUAGCUUUGGGAAUGGUAUUGAUUCUAUUCUUGUUUGUUUAUUCAUAUAAUAACUUUGAUGCAACCUUCAGAUUCCUUUUGAACCAUGUAGUUAUAUAUUUGGAUUAGUUUAUAGCAUAUCAACUGUUGAUUGUUGCAUUUAGAUGUUUUUUGUUACUUCCGCUCUUGAUUGCUUAUUAUAUGUCAGUUAAAGAGCAAACAUUAUACAAGUUCUUGAUUGAUUAGUGCUCUUUCGUAUAACGGGUUCGUGACUGAUGUUCACUUUCUUAUUUGAAUAUUCAGAUACUUCCGUAGCUGAUGGCUUCGCCGGAUAUUGAGUCUCCCUGGCUUUGUGCCGCUGGUGAAUCCGUCUGUGGGUCGUUUAAUAUACGCGUGGAGGAGGGGAAUGCAGCCGAUAUUUUACAUGUGCUGGAAGUUCCCACCUCUUCUGUACCCUAUAACUGUAGUAUACCCAAGCCACCCCCUCUCCCUAUUAAACCCUGUACAAAAAACAAAUAUCCCAAUAGAUUUUUACAUUGUAGUUUUGUUCCAAAGGAAACAAAGGAUGUAUGGGAUAAGCUUUUCAAGGAAGGAAAUGGUGCAGAUGUCUAUAUUAUCACCAAGGACGAAUCCUGUAUUCAAGCUCAUUCCAGUAUACUGGUGAGUUAAUUGAACUUUGCCUUCUCUGUUAAAGUAGAGCUACCCCGGGUUUUCUCAAUGACAAUUGCUUUAGUACUGUAAAGUAAUUUCACUUCGGAGAUGUUAUGGAUGUUAAAUAGAUGGUCCAGUGGCUAAGUUAGCAAUUUUAGAACCUGGCUGAAGAGUUGGCAUCUAUUCAACAUAAAUAUACAGUGUUUGGAAUUACUCUGUUUAUAAAUGGAUAGAAGAAAUCCUGGGACCAUCUAACCUGUGCUGGGGAAUAUUCUGCAGCAAUCAAAAGCAAAGAAUGGUUUCAGAUAUAUCAAAAUUCCUGGGAUGCCUCAUGAAGCUGUCUAUGCAUUCGUUCGUUUUCUCUAUUCCUCCUGGUAUGUUGAAAGAAUGUUGCUAUAUUCUCAUUGUGCUUAAAACGAUCAAUAUGGUUUUCGGAGGAUUUGCAUGUUACUGAUUUAUUGGGUCCUAGAUUCCUUGAAAAUGAAUUAUUAUGGGUGUUGAUGAUUGAAAAAGGGGUCCAUGAUAUAUCAAAAUUGCUUGGUUUAUUUUUCUCAUGCACUGUAGUUCGUUUGUUCUAGUUUUCAAGAAUCGUGAGGCGUUGGUUAUUACGUCAUCCAUAUAUGCUUGGUAUAUGGUGUACUCUUUCAUUUAUAAAUAAAAUAAAGUUUGCUCAUUCCUUAGAGGUUUAAUGACAUCCAUCUCUGUAUAUAUAAAAGACUACGUCCAAUCAAAGUUUUGAUUUUAAAUAUAUUUUAGUUUGAAGGGCAUACGGAGCAGUGAUGAACACAUUUGACGAGUUGGAAUGGGGGAUAUGUUGAAGAGUUUUGUAACUAAAAUGUUGUAGCUCAAAACCAACUAACUUUUUCCUUUUCAGUUGAUUAAAUUCAUGACAAUACAAGAAAAGCUUUUAGUGUACGAGCCUUAGUAUAAUUUUUUAAAUAGAGCUUAUUUUACUAUAGCUUUAUUAGUUGAGCUUUUACAAGUAAAAUUUUUAAAUAAAAAAGAAUUAAUUAUUUGAUUGUUAACGAUAUUUUUUAUUUCUUUUAAAAUUAUGUUGUGAAAGAAAUGAAAUAAGAUUGUCAAAUAAGUAAAUGAUAGUUUUAAAAUUUUAACAUUUUAAAAAGCUUAUCAACCUUUACUGUCAAAAAUCCAAAAUUUGAGCUUUUGUUUGCAACGGUAAAAUAACUUAUUUAAUCAUCAAAAAUUCUAUUAAAAAAUUAACUAACAAUAAUAAUAAAUUUUAAAAGAGAUUAUGAGAUUAAAUAAAUACUUAUGGUCAUUAGAUAAGUGAUGCUAAGCAAAGACUAAAAAAUCAAAAAGAAAUAAAAAAACGCAACAGAUCAGCUUAUGGGAGACAAAAUGAGUUUUACCUUAAUUAAAUACAAGAAAUAAAAAAAUUGAGAAGCUCCACGCAGAGAGCAAGAAAAGUAGAGAACCAAAAGUUAACAUAAAUAAUAGUUUGAAAAGCCAUUAGCAUCUCUAGAAAGAAAAACUGAAGCUUAUGCAAGAGGUCAAGACCACAAGUGAAAGAAAAGGUAAAGCGUCUACAUGAGGUAAAGAUCACCAAAUAAAGUCUGUACAAUGAAGCUCAGGAUUAACAAUGACAAUCUUGAGCAGUAAUGCAACAUCAAAAGAAUUUAUUCGGUUGGAGUCAAAGAAUGAAUGUGAUAAUUGUUGAUGCCAAAAUCUGCUCGUCCGUGGACCGACCAGAUUCGCUCACCAACGUUUAAGUUCUCGACUGCUGCUUGAACCGCUAAGGCUGCAAUUAACCUUCUCUCUCUCUCACUAGACCUGCGUACACCAAAAACGGAUCAGAGACGCCGGUGGUUUUGCCGGCGUAAACCCUCCGAUGCCUAAGUUAGCACAAGGUGUUUACGGGAAAGCGAUUAAAUUUGGAUUUACGAAUGGUUCGAGAUUUGCUCAAAGUUUAUAGGAAAAUGGCCUGGUUGCAAUUUGGCAGCGUUUUCCCUCUCUCAGUUUUUCUGUCCCUUCUUCAUCGAUUUCUUCUCAUUUUAUAGCCGCUGCCCCCACGUUUUCGUUUGCCCUUCAUCCCACCUUUUUCGGGUAGUGGCAACCCCUCAUGGGACUCUAACUGUUACAUUGUGGGCAAACGUGGAUCUCGCGUGUCCUUCGACGGUUCUGGAAAAGCGUAACUACUGUGAUUUCGUGGGAUCGUGUUCCCGCUUUUCCGGGGAUGAAUGUCGGCUCGGUAUAUACCUCUGGUCGGUAUGUUUCCUUGGUUGUAUCCAUCUCUGGUCCGCUCAUGCUCGCCCCCGUGUUCUGCUCAUAUCAUUUUGGCUGAAGCAAUCCGUGCCGGGGCGAGAAUAGUAGCAUGGUCGACCUGGUGCCGACCUGGUGCCGACCUGGUGCUCUUAUGUACUCAACACCAGUCCCCCAGUUUCUGGUCUGGUGAGUGAAAUGAAUGAAGAGCAGAAACUGAUGGUCAAAUCUCGCCAACCCGGGGAACUUCUCAUCUGGUCUUUUGUUUGCUGGGGCGGACCUGAGGUACCAUCCUUGUUCUGGGGGGAUUCCGACCUGAGCAUGGGCCUAAAUAAGCAUGCCCAUUGCAUAUCUGGGCUUGCAUCUAUCCUGGCCUCUCGUAACGGUUGGUGACGUGGCGCUUCCCGACUCUCCGUAUUUGAAAUUUGAAACGACGGGCUAUUCGUCCUCGAUAUAUGGGGGGUGAGCUGGCAUAUCCCAUCACUUAAAUGCUUCCAUUUCCCCCUUUUUCGUUUCAAAUCCCUAGACUGGAGUCAUCAUCCUUUUGUUAUUCGUUUCUCCGCCGUCAACCAAAUUUUCUCUGAACUUUGCUUACACUUCCAGCGUCCGGAGUAUCCAUUUGCCGGGUGUUUUCUCUGUCACGGCAGCGCUAUCAGUGUCAGUCUAUUCCAGGUAUAGUCUUUUAACUUCUCCUCUGGUUGUUGUUGAUUGGGUUCUGUGUUGCCCUCUUUGUGUCCAUAUACUUGAGUUUUCUCUGUUUUCUUUUGGGGAUUCCGGUAUGUCAAAUCGGAAGAGGAAGUUAAUUAUUGAUGAGGGUGAUGAAGAGUCAGGGGACUCAGGCCUCAAUGUGCCAAUGCCCACUGAUUACUUAGACCCCUCUAGUAGUGUAGGUCCUUCCCAUGGCAGGGAUACCCUUGAAUACCCACGCCCUUUGGUUAUCUCUCCUUCCCCCGAACUAGAGCUUGUAGGGAAUAGAGGUGGACCUGCGUCGGGCUCUGGUGAGAAUCACGGUUCUGGUGGGGUUGGGGUCCUUGAAGGAGUUGGUGAUGGUGAGGGGAGCAGUUCCGGACCGAGCCGACCUGCUCAGAAAAGGAACCUAGGCCAUAGGGUGGAGGCUGAUUCCUACCCUAUUGAUUUCAUGGCUUGUGCCACCACCCCCACCGAUCUAUUUAAACUUAGGAAUCUCUACAACAUCCCCAGCGAUGUUCUUCUUGUAGUUCCUGGGAAGGGUGAUGUUCCUAGUCGGCCUCCGCGGGGGUAUGUGACGAUGCAUCUGGAGAGCUUCAAAUUAGGAGCUCGGCUACCCCUUCAACGCUAUUUUGCUAAGAUACUAGGUGGUAUGCACCUGGCCCCAGGUCAGCUACACCCCAACGGUUGAAGGGUUCUCUCGGCUAUGUAUGUGUUGUGGGAGAGGUGUGGAUCAGAGGAGCCCUCCCUUGUUGAAGUGAAACAUCUGUAUCAGCUGCGGAGCAGCCCAAGGGAGGCGGGCUGGUACUACUUCAUGUCCAGUUCUGCGAAGAGAAAGCCAAUCACCGGUUUCCCCUCCUCCUGCAAAAAUUGGAAGAACAAAUUCUUCUUUGCUGGGGGAAAUUGGUGUUCAGCACUCCGUUCGUUGGGUGGUGAUGUUUACGUUCCAACGCAGUUUGUCACCCCAGGUCGUUCAUUUUUUACCUGUAUUCUUUCUCGAAUUGCCACUUAUUGGGUUCUUUAACCUUGUUUGUUAUUUCAGAGUCAUGGGGUUUGAUCGGGGGGCUUGAAGAUCGACCCUUGCUUCAGGUGGAAACUACUCUGGUGAACGCUUCUACUUGCCAAGACCUCCUGUCUCCAACAAACCUGGUCGAUUCGGGCCUAGUGGAUAUAGCUGCUGGAAUGGAUAACAAGAUCCUCAGCGCGAUGAGCAGGAAGCGUGGUCGGGCCCCGAGUAGCUCCAGCAACCCCCCUCCUCCUCCGAAGAAACUUAGCGUUGGUCCUUCCAAGGCGCCUGUUCCUGCUCUGCCUCCUCCUCCACCUCGUAAGAGUGGUGGGGAGAAAACCUCUGACAAGAGUCCUGAGGUCAGCUUGCAGUCUGGGGACCGAUCUUCUCCUCUACCAUCUCGGGAUCAAGUGGACUACCUGAGCCCGUAUCAGAAGGAUUACAAAAAGGCGGUGGGGCCCAAGAUGGUGAAGGACAUCGAGAGUAUGAAUCUCUCCGAAUUAGCUGCUUCUGUUCAGAGAGUGUCCUUCAAGCUGGCCACUAUGGUUUCGUGCUACAAGAUUGGGACUGCGCGCCAUGAGAAGAAGCUCCAAGCUGACAAUCAGGAAUUGAAGAAGAAAGCUGACUCUGCUGACCGCUCCAAGGAGAAACUGGCUGAGCUGAACAAGCAGAUUGCGGAGCUAGAGGAGAAGGUUGCGGUUGCUGAAUCCACUUCCUCCAAACUCGAGGGCGAGUUGGGUGACUUGAGAUCUGAUCUUCAGGCUACUCAAACAGAAAGGGAUACUUUGAGGGUCGCCCUUGAGGAGGAAAUCAAAUCCUUGGGUGAGCAGCUGGCCGAGGAGAAAGGCAAAUCCGCUGAUGUGGAUGAUCGGGUUGAUGCCGAGUAUGAUUCUGGGGUUGGCUUCUCCUACAAGUGCAUCAUGUCUGUGCUUAAGACAGAAUAUCCCGAGAUGGACAUGAGCAAACUGGAGGCCGGAGUACAGCGGUAUAUGGCGCAGGUCGACCAAGCAGAUAAGGAGCAGGGUGAGCAGGAGCAGGUGGAGGCCCCUUUGGAUGGGGGGCAAGAGGGGGAAGCUGGGGGACGCACUUUCGAAAUGGGUCAAGGGUCCAUGCCUCCUCCUUCCGGCAUUGCUGAUCUCCCACCUCCUGAUGUUGCUGAUCCCUUACUUCCCGGGCUCGCUGAUCCUUCAGCUGCUGGAGCCGCUGACUCUGCUAAGCUUUGAGUCUAUUUUUUGUAUAAACUCUAGAUUUGCAUUUGUUUUGUAAACGACUGAACAUUUAUAAAAUUUCUGGAAUGUUCUCCCUUGGCUUUCUUAUCUGGUAUUGCUUGUGAUUCUUUAGUGCAUCGAACUGGAAUAGGCAUCCGUUUGCCUUAGUAAAGUUUUCGCAGAUUUAGCUGCUGGUCUCUCGUUGACCGAACAGAAACAGACCCUUACUUGCCUUAGUGCAAAUUUGGAGAAAUUAGCUGCUGGUCUUCGCUGACCGAGCAGAAGUAGGCACUUUCUUGCCUUAGUAGAUUAGCUGCUGGUCUUUCGUUUGACCGAGCAGAGGCAGGCACUUUCUUGCCUUGGUAAAAUCUUCGUAAAUUUAGCUGCUGAUCGUUCGUGGACCGAGCAGAAGUAGGCACUUGCCUUAGGAGAGUGUUCGUAGCUUUAGCUGCUGGUCAUUCGUUGACCGAGCAGAAAUAGGCACUCUGUUGCCUUAGUAGAUUAGCUGCUGGUCUUUCGUUUGACCGAGCAGAGCUGAAUUCCUCUUUAUUGAAAUUUGAAUGCGUUACAAAAGUACAAAACAUAUGCAUGUGCACCAAACCAUCAUGCAUUUGAUCAAUAUAACUUAUCAAAUUGAAGAUUUAGUAGAGUAUUUUGCUUACUGGAAAUACUUCUUCAAAUGCUCGGCGUUCCAUGACCUCUUCACGUCUCGUCCAUCUCGGUAUGCUAACUUAUAAGCUCCCGGACCAGUUGCUCGUAUCACCCUGUACGGGCCUUCCCAUUUCGGACCAAGAGCUCCAUGGUUAGGAUUCCUGGUGUUCUGGUUCACUUUCCUAAGUACCCAAUCUCCUGCUCGGAACUGCCUCACGCGUACAUUCUUGUUGUAAUAACGCAUGACCCUUUGCUGACAUUGGGCCACUUUCUUCGAGGCCCCUUCCCUUUUCUCUUCCAGCAGGUCUAGGCUUAGGCAGAUCUGCUCGUCAUUUUGCUCCUCAGCGAAAUGUUCCGUUCGAUGUGUCCCCACUCCAAUCUCUGCUGGGAUUACCGCCUCAUGACCAAAGGCUAAAGCGAACGGUGUUUCUCCUGUGGCGGUUUUGUGAGUUGUCCUGUAGGCCCACAGUACCCCUGGAAGCUCGUCAACCCAAGCUCCCUUCUUCUCUCCCAAUCUAGUCUUCAGGAGCUUCUUUAUCACCUUGUUGGCUGCUUCCACUUGUCCGUUUGCCUGGGGGUGUGCGGGGGUGCAGAACUUCAGGUCCACCCCCAGGUUUCGGCAAAACUCUCUGAAGUUGCCGUUGUCAAACUGCCUCCCAUUGUCUGUGAUGAUGGCAUAGGGGAUCCCAUAUCUGCAGAUGAUAUUUUUCCAAAUAAAAUCUGUUGUCUUCCUCUCUGUGAUCUGGCUGAGGACUCCCACUUCCACCCACUUGGUGAAGUAGUCUAUUGCCACAAUUGCAUGUGUCGCCGCUCCUCGUUCCUUAGGUAACGGACCAAUCAAGUCGAUUCCCCAUUGAGCGAAAGGCCAUGGGGAUGUCAUAGCCGUCAGCUUUUCCGGGGGUUGUGUAGGAACCUCGGAGAAGCUUUGGCAUGUUUUACAAUUCUUUGCCAUCCUCUUGGCAUCCUGGUGCAUGGUUGGCCAGAAAUAUCCUUGCCGGAGUGCCUUGAAGGCUAAAGUUCUUGCUCCCGAGUGAUUGCCGCAUAUUCCCUCAUGAAUCUCUCUCAGCACAUAAUCCGCCUCCUCAUCAUCCAAACAUCUCAACAGGGGCAAGGUGAACCCUCGGCGGUACAACACCCCAUCCAGUAGCGUAUACCUUGCUGCUCGGCAUUUCAGUUUUCUUGCUUGUCUCUUAUCCUCUGGUAAAACUCCAUCGCGGACAUACGCGCAAAUCGGGUCCAUCCAGGAUUCUCCAAUACUUACUCUCAUCACCUCUGCAUCUUCCUCAAUACUUGGUGAGGUCCUUAUCUCUAGUGGAACUGACUUCGGUAAUUUUGGAUCUGCAAUAGCAGCCAUCCUAGCCAACAUAUCUGCUCGGUAAUUCUCAUUCCGGGAUAUCUGCUUUACUUCCACCUCUUGGAAAAACCCAACCAUCUGCUUUGCCUUCUUCAAAUAAAGUCCCAAUUUCUCUUCCCUUACUUGGAACUGAUCAGUGAGCUGGUUACAUACUAGCUGGGAGUCUGCUCGGAUUUCUACCCUUUUCUGCUCGCAGCGCAUGUGCAAGACCGAGCCCAGUAAUGAAGGCCUCAUAUUCAGCUUGGUUGUUCGUAAGCUGGAACUCGAACUUCACCGCAUAGGAUGCCUCAACACCUUCUGGGCUUCGUAUUAUAACUCCUGCCCCGGAUCCCUGUUCACUACGCGAUCCAUCAACCAUUACCAGCCAUACCCCCUUUGAAUCCUCAUGUUCAGCUGAUUGUUCCUCGUGAACCUCUUCCCCUGGUUCAGCACGAUCAAUCAUAAAAUCUACCAGGGCUUGAGCCUUGAUUGCUCCUCGGGGCCUGUAGGACAAGUCGAACUCACUUAGCUCCACGGACCAUUUUACUAGUCGACCAGACACAUCUGGUUUUUGAAGCACCUGCCGAAGGGGCUGGUCAGUCAUCACAAUGAUCUGGUGGGCUUGGAAAUAUGGUCGGAGUUUGCGUGCUGCCGUUAUCAGGGCGAGCGCCCACUUCUCCAUUAGUGGAUAUCUGGUUUCUGCGUCUACCAGGGCCUUGCUUGUGUAGUAUACUGGGUGUUGCUUUCCUUUUUCUUCCCUGACUAAGACCGAGCGGGUAGCCCACUUAGAGAUUGCCAAGUACAAAAGCAGCUGGUCACCCUCUCUGGGAGUUGAUAGUAACGGGGCGCGGGCUAGGUAUUCCUUCAACUGUCCAAAUGCCUCCUCGCAUUCUGGUGUCCAUUCCAUCUUCCUCCAUUUCUUUAUGAUUUGGAAGAAAGGGUGGCACUUAUCAGUGGCUCGCGAAAUGAAUCGGUUUAAUGCUGCCAAUUUCCCCGUAAGGCUCUGCACCUCCUUAACUGUUCUUGGGGACCGCAUUUCUAUCACCGCCCGUAUCUUUUCCGGGUUGGCCUCAAUCCCUCGAUGGCUCACCAGGUACCCCAAAAAUUUGCCCGAGCUGACCCCAAAUGCACAUUUCUCCGGGUUCAGCUUCAUUUCGUACUUCCUCAGCAAAUCAAAGGUCUAUUCCAAGUGCUUCACAUGAUCUCUCGGUUCUCUUGACUUGGUGAUCAUAUCGUCCACAUAUACUUUCAUAGUGUGGCCGAUCAAUGGUUUGAAGACCUUGUUCACUAACCUUUGAUAGGUAGCUCCAGCAUUUUUCAGGCCAAAGGGCAUCACCCUGUAACAAAACAAACCCAUGUUAGUUAUAAAGGUCGUGCUUUCCUCAUCCUGCUCGUUCAUGGGUAUCUGGUUGUAUCCGGAGAAGGCAUCCAUGAAACUGAGCAGACUAUGACCCGCGGUUGAGUCCACCAACUGGUCUAUUUUUGGUAGUGGAAAGCUGUCCUUCGGGCAUGCCUUAUUGAGGUCCGUGAAGUCUACACACAUUCUCCACUUCCCAUUGGCCUUCUUUACCAGCACUACAUUGGAAAUCCACUCCGGGUACUUGGCUUCCCUUAUAAACCCUGCUUUUAGCAGUUUUUCCACCUCGGUAUUUAUGGCUUCGUACCUCUCAUGGUUGAAGCACCUCCUUUUUUGCCUCACCGGCCUUGCCCCUUUCUUGAUUGCCAGCUUGUGGCAUGCUACCCUGCGAUCAAUACCUGGCAUAUCCUCAUGAGACCAGGCAAAUAUGUCUGCAUGGGACUGUAGACAUUUCACCAGCUCGCCUUUUAUUGGUUCGCCCAAUUCUGUUCCGACCUUAACCACUCUGCUAGGGUCACUCCUGCUUACAACAACUUCUUCCAGCUUCUCAACAGGUUCCUGGCGACCGUUUUUUGAAUCCCCUCGGUUAUCUAGAGACGUAACCUGCAGUGUUUCCUUGGCCGCUGUAGCAUAGCAGCUCCUGGCCAUUCUCUGGUCGCCCUUCACGACACCCACAACUCCAUUUAUUCUGUAUUUCAGUGCCAGGUAAUGCGUGGACAUUACACAUUGGCUUAUCCUCAUGAACGGUCUACCCAAUAUCAUCUGGUAAGGGCUCCUCUCCUCUACCACUACAAAGUCCAGCAUCAUUGUUCUUUCAAAUGGCUUUGUCCCCACAGUAAUCGGGAGUUCAAUGACCCCCAUGGGAGUUAACCGUCCCCCUCCAAAUCCCUUCAAGGAUGUAUUCGUUCGCUCCAGCUUUAAGUCUGAAAUCCCCAUAUCAUCUAGGGCGGACUUAAACAGAAUGUCUACUGAGCUGCCCGUGUCUACCAAUAUUCGCCGCAAUUCUGUGCUGGCCACCAAUGCUCUAAUCACCAGUGCAUCCUCGUGAGGGUACAAAAUGCCCUCUUCGUCGUCCUCUGUCCACAUAAUAGGGACUUGCCGCACUUUUGCCCUCUUGGCUGCUGGCAAAUUGAGAAGCACUUCCUUGCCAGUCAUGGCAUAUCUCCCAUAGUUUUUGCGUGCUCUGUUUGAAUCCCCGGCCAAUGUUGGCCCUCCUGCUAUCACCCGGAUAGUCGGCUGUUCUCGUUCUAAACCCCUUUCAACUCCUACAUCCUGUGCAUAUUGCGGCUCACUGACGGGGGACACUCCAUCUACGUACUCACCCAAGUACUGGUUUCUCACCAAAUCCUCCACCUGAAUCCUUAGGUCACGGCAUUGGUUGAUAGUAUGACCAUGAGUGUUGUGGAAUUUGCAGAACCUGCUCUUAUCACGCCGGUGAGCGGGUUUUGUUAUAGGGGCCGGAGGGUACAAUAGGCCUCGUCCCUCGAUCCUCUCAUAUAAUUCCUCCAUGGAAAUCUUUAAUUGCGUGUACUGUCUAUAUGCCGAGCUCUGGUCUACUAGCUAAACUGUUCGGCUAUCAUGAAUGUCACCUCGGGUUGGUAUAGCGGAUGGCUGCUCUGGUCGUCCCGACCUGUAAUUAGGUGCACUUAAACUUCUGGGAGUGCUGUGAUAAGGGUGGGCGGCCAUCUACCUGAAUUCUCGCUGCCGCUCUGGGAUCGGAGGGCGCGGAGGUUGGGCCCGGCUGUGUUGGAACUGUUGUGCUCUCGGAGCUAUGGGGUAAGGGCGGGUCCGAACUGAAAUUCCACCCAUCCCUGAAGAUUCUCCAGCUCGCUUUCCCGACCCGCUCCCUUUCGGGGCUCUCCGUUCCUUUUGCCUCAGCUCUUCCAGCUGUUCACUUUUAAUUCUAGCUGAUUUCUCCUCUUCGAUUUCAAUAUCUCGUCUCGCCUGCUCAUACCCUGACGAGUAAUUCUGUACGAGGGGGCUCCUUAGGUUAUACCACAAUCGGCCGAUUCUUACACCUUCUUUUAAUCCCCUCAACGCCUGCGGGUGAUUAAAAGCUCCCAAAUCCAGCACGGCUCGGUGAUAUCGUUUCACAAAGUCUCGCAGGGAUUCAUGAUCCUCCUGUUUCAUCCCCAUCAGUUCCAUCAUGUCGUCCUCCGGGGCCACUGCCCCUCGGAACUGCUCGGCCAACUCCUGGCACAUCUGCUCAUACCCUUUUAUUCCUCCUCGGGGCAGCUUGCGGUACCAUUCUCGGGCUCGUCCCUCUAGUGUCAACGGGAACACCCUGCACCUCUGAGCUGGUGUCAACCCCUGCACACCCGUCAUGUCGUUGAAACGCUCAAUGUGCACCAACGGGUCACUUCGCCCGGAGUAUUUGAGGUCGGGGAAGCGGAAAUCUCUUGGAAUUAUGGUACUCAUGAUCUCAGUUGAUAACGGAGAUUCGUCAUCUAGCAUUAUCCUCCAGCUCGGGGGCUUUCUCUUUCCCUGCAUCUCCUCUAUCACCUGCGCCAAUCUGCGCACCUCCCCCUCCAAUUCUAUGGCACGAUUAGGGUCACGUGCAGCUACCUGGUCUCGCUCCUGCUCGACGUUCUGCAACCGCUGUCUGAGCUCUCCUUCAUCGACACUUGCCCCUCGGUCAUUUAUUUCCAGUAUCCGUCCGGGGCGAGGUUGAUCUCUCCCUUCAUCCACGUGCUCCCCUAGGACCCGACCAGUACUUCGGUGGGGAUGCACCCCGUUAGGUUGGUCUGCGGGCGGAGGGAUCUCCCCGACUCUACGCCCCUGGAGGCUGGGUUCAGCUCCAACUCCAUCUCUUCCCUCGGGGGUUUCACAAUCCCUUCUCCGCUCGUCCCUCAGCUCAAACAAUACGGCCGCGAGAGUCUCCAUUUGUUUCUCCAUUCGCUCCAGUCUAUCUUGCAUCAUCCUCUCUCGGGCUUCAUUUGCAAUCUCCCGGAGAGUGAUUGUCUCCACCGUUUCAUUGUCCUCCCUUAAAGUAUCCUUUCUUGACACAUCCAUAUCCAAUCGCUUGCUGCUUCUCCGAUAAUUACUAAGUUGGUGGUAGCUUUUUAUUCAGCUCCCCACAGACGGCGCCAAAAUGUUGAUGCCAAAAUAUGCUCGUCCGUGGACCGACCAGAUUCGCUCACCAACGUUUAAGUUCUCGACUGCUGCUUGAACCGCUAAGGCUGCAAUUAACCUUCUCUCUCUCUCACUAGACCUGCGUACACCAAAAACGGAUCAGAGACGCCGGUGGUUUUGCCGGCGUAAACCCUCUGAUGCCUAAGUUAGCACAAGGUGUUUACGGGAAAGCGAUUAAAUUUGGAUUUACGAAUGGUUCGAGAUUUGCUCAAAGUUUAUAGGAAAAUGGCCUGGUUGCAAUUUGGCAGCGUUUUCCCUCUCUCAGUUUUUCUGUCCCUUCUUCAUCGAUUUCUUCUCAUUUUAUAGCCGUUGCCCCCACGUUUUCGUUUGCCCUUCAUCCCACCUUUUUCGGGUAGUGGCAAACCCUCAUGGGACUCUAACUGUUACAUUGUGGGCAAACGUGGAUCUCGCGUGUCCUUCGACGGUUCUGGAAAAGCGUAACUACUGUGAUUUCGUGGGAUCGUGUUCCCGCUUUUCCGGGGAUGAAUGUCGGCUCGGUAUAUACCUCUGGUCGGUAUGUUUCCUUGGUUGUAUCCAUCUCUGGUCCGCUCAUGCUCGCCCCCGUGUUCUGCUCAUAUCAUUUUGGCUGAAGCAAUCCGUGCCGGGGCGAGAAUAGUAGCAUGGUCGACCUGGUGCCGACCUGGUGCUCUUAUGUACUCAACAAUAAUAUUUGCUCCACGAUUUCUUUCCACCGAUUGUCCAUCGACCCGUAUCAAGCAAGGAUGUGUUGUUGUAUUUGGAAUAUGCAGCUCACUUUUCAGAUCCAGCCUUUGGAAUUGCCAAGUUUAUGAAGACAGACUCGAGCAAUUGGACUGUAUGCGCAACCACGUAUGGAUUUGUCAUUGUUGCUCCACGUAUGUAAUAUUCUUUUGAUUCCAUUUUGAGGAAUAUCAUUAUGUAACACAUUCCGUUGACUUAUGAAACAGAGUAAACCAUGUUUCUUUCUUCUUCUUUUUUUCAGUUGACUUUGCGGAGCUUGCCUACACAAUGAAGAUCACAGAACAACCCAACGUGUACAGUUUCGGAGUGCUACACUGGAAGUGAUCAAGGGGAUCCAAGAGGUUUUCUUUCCUCAGUUUCGUCUUCAUCUUCCAACAUGAACAUGCACGAGUAGCUGCUCUGCUAUAUCUAUUGAUUUUUGCUAGACUAGUCAUUAUUAUUUGAGUUUUAAAUAUUUGCCUUCAUUACUCAUUGUUGCACAAGCUAAUCGUACACAUCAUGCUAUGUAGGUCUCAAUUCGGAACAAAAGAAUGUUAGUUGAAGACACACAACACAAAAUAUAAAAAAUUAGUUCGCAGAUGGCCACAAAAGACUAGCUACAUUUCUGUCCAAAAAAAAAGAAAGAAAAGAAAUAAGAAAUAAUCUGUUUGUACGGCCUCUGUAAACCAACUGCUUCCAUGCCCCAAUUUCGAAACUAUCAUUGAUAUAGAGCCAUUAGUUCCAUCUCUCGCCUAAAGCUUCGGGAGAUAUGGUCAAAAAUCUCCUUAUCGCCAUAGUUUUGCUACAAAAGCCAAUAGAAUUAAUGAUCCUUAUAAAUUAUGAAUUACAUCCUAAUCUACUUGCAUUAUUUUGGAUUAAAAAAAUCUUGCUUUGAUCAUCAUUCCGAUUGGAAAUAUCAAACUCUAAGGCUUGUCAUUAAUUGGGACAAAAUUUUAAUUACAUCUCAACUUCGUAAAUAGAAGUACUUAUCAUUGAAAUAUAAUUAAAGUAGCAAGAGGCCAUUUGAAGUGUAAAAGGAAAAGGAGAGAGAAGGGUAGCUAUAGAUGGAUAAGAUAUGUGUCAGAACGAGUCAACAUUUGAUAAAACCUUUUGGGAUUGUAUCUAACAACAUUUUUUUUUCUCGGUUGGAUCUCAGUGUUUAUACAAAAGCAAAGAUUUGGAUGACUAAAAUUUGACGCUAUACUUAUAAAGUAGAGAUAUAGAGUUUAUCACCAGUGUAAUAUAUACAUGGUCUUAAUUUACACAAUUCACCAUGUGACAGUGAGAUGAUGAUAAGGUAAAUUAUCAAUUAAAAACAUGACAGUUUGUACUAAUGUUAGAUCAUAUGAUAUGCUUAUUGAGUUAAUGGUCAUGUUCGGUCCAAUUGAAUAAGUCUAAAGUAGUAGUAAAGUUGAAUAAGUCUAAGUUAGUUGAGAUAUUAUCAACUUAGUUUGUCAAUUAAGUAUCCAGUUCUUGAUUUGUUGAGAUUAUUUUGUUUCAUUCCUGUUUCUGUUUUGUCUGGCUUGUAUAAAUAAGCCAUUGUUGAAUAAUGAAGGCAUGAAUCAUUUUAUCAAAGAAAUACUUGUGUUACAUCUUGGAGGGAUUGGCUUCCUCGAAUCAGCCAACUGUUAACGUUACCAAGUGUAAGGGCAAGAUAGGAAGAGACAAGCAGAAUAAAAAUAGCUUGCCUGUUCCAUCACAUGUGGUGAGCACAUGUGAGGAGAUGGAAUGGGGCAUAUGUAUGUUGAAGAGUUUCGUAACCAAAAUUUUUGGGCUAAAAAACGACUGACUUUUUCAUUUUUACUUGAUUAAAACCGCGAUAAACGAGAAGAACUUUUAGCGGGGGACAAAAUGAGUUUUACGGCUCAUUCAAUACAAGAAACUAAAAUAUUGAAAAGCUUCACGCAGGAAGCAGGAAAAGUAAGGAACCAAAAGUUAACAGAAACAAUCGUCUGAAAAGCCAUUAGCAUCUCUAGAAAGAAAAGGCAAAGCUUCUACGAGAGGCGAAGACCACAAGUGAAAGAAAAGGUAAAGCAUCUGCAAGAGGUGAUAUUAGCUCAUUUUCGACAAAAUAUAAUGACAAUUAAGCUAAAUAAUUACGAAUAAUCCAAAGGGGUUGGAGACUAAAAUUGAAGGUGAACUGCCAUUGAAGGGUCAGAAUCAAUCACUAAAACAAGUGCCAUAACCUCAGCAUAGUAAUAAUUAAAAAAUAAUUUCUUGCGCAUGUACAAAGAGGUGAACCACUCGAAUGUAAACUUGAAAAGUGUUCACAACUGGAUUAAAUAAUGGACAAUUCAUAGUUAUUGUUAAUGUUAAAAGAAAGGAAUAGAUUGGGAAAAAAAAAUUAAGGAUAAUUUACAAUUAAUGCAGUCCUUGUGGUUUAAGGAAAAAUCAAGUAAGCCAGAAAUCAUUAGUACUAUUUUUCAAAUAAGUCCUCUGACCGUGUUUGACCAUUCACCGUACUGCAAAGUAAGCGAAAAUAUCUACUUCUUAGCAGCCCACUUUUAUGAUGCGAUUAAUUUCAACCAUUCGCUGAUUCGCGUGCUGGUAGUUAGGCAAGUUCAUUUGUUGGCUGGAGAAAUUUGAUAUUUUUGGUACCAAAUUUAUACAUAUGUGUGCGUGUGCGUGUGUGUGUGUUUCCUUUAAUUUGUGAAUUUGGUAUUACUUCUCAUCAGGUGUGCGAAACAGAAACAACGGCAUUUAUUACAUAAAUAUUUCUAAUUUGCAGUAUGGAAAGCUUGGAGAUGUUAAAUCUCUCCCAAAAUAACCUGUCAGGUUCAAUUCUAAGUAAUUUUGAAGAAAUGCAUGGCUUGUCAUUGGUUGGUGCAUCUCCUACAUUGAAUUACAGGGCCCAAUUCCAGUUGACAGAUACACAGCCAGAAAAUAAAUAAACUCCGUACGGACAAACUUGACACUCCCGCGGCCAGAUAUGUUCCAAAAUCUACUUAUAGCCAUAAUUUUGAUACAAAAGCCAAUGGAAUUAUUGCCCCUUAUAAAUUAUGAAUUACAUCCUAAUCUAGUUGCUUAAUUUUGGAUAGAAAAUCUUGCUUUGAUCAUUAUACCGCUUAGAAAUAUCAAAUUCCAAGGCUCGUCAUUAAUUGGGAUAAAAUUUUAUAUCUCAGCUUUCUAAAUAAUUUACUUAUCAUUCAAAUAUAAAGUGGCCAGAGGACAUGCCGAGCGUCAAAAUGAAAGGAGAGAGGAGUAGUAGAUAAGAUACGGGUUAGAAGGAGUCAAAAUUUGAUAAACUUUUUUGGAUUGUAUCUCACAAGUCACAACUUUUUUUCCUUUUCUCCUGUUUGGAUCUCAGUGUUUAUAUAAAGCAAAGAUUCAAGGCCCACGUGUCCAUAAGAUGAGCGAUGGUGUCUACCAGAUUAGUUCUCUGGAGUUUAGAUCACCGGGGUAACACAGACAUUGACUCCUUCACUUCUCAAUUGCUCUUUUGCUUCCGCUGUAAUUGUUUUCUGCAACGUCGUUAAAUUAUAUAUGAGUGUUUGAUAACCUUUUCAAUUUCAAUCAACUUUUGUAUUACCUUAAUUAUUUUGUUUCCUUUCUGCGUAAUUGAUCUUGUGUUUUUAUAAUAUCAAUGGUGUCACGAACCUUGAAUAGAGUAUCUUUUACUGUUUUGUUGAUUCUAUUUUAUACGUGUUUGUAUUAGAAUUUUUACUUAUCAUUGAAAAACCCGGGGAUGAAAUCUAACACGUACUAAUUAAUUAAAUUUAUUUCAUAAUAAUAAACUAAAUUAAUUUUUUUUAAUANNNNNNNNNNNNNNNNNNNNNNNNNNNNNNNNNNNNNNNNNNNNNNNNNNNNNNNNNNNNNNNNNNNNNNNNNNNNNNNNNNNNNNNNNNNNNNNNNNNNNNNNNNNNNNNNNNNNNNNNNNNNNNNNNNNNNNNNNNNNNNNNNNNNNNNNNNNNNNNNNNNNNNNNNNNNNNNNNNNNNNNNNNNNNNNNNNNNNNNNNNNNNNNNNNNNNNNNNNNNNNNNNNNNNNNNNNNNNNNNNNNNNNNNNNNNNNNNNNNNNNNNNNNNNNNNNNNNNNNNNNNNNNNNNNNNNNNNNNNNNNNNNNNNNNNNNNNNNNNNNNNNNNNNNNNNNNNNNNNNNNNNNNNNNNNNNNNNNNNNNNNNNNNNNNNNNNNNNNNNNNNNNNNNNNNNNNNNNNNNNNNNNNNNNNNNNNNNNNNNNNNNNNNNNNNNNNNNNNNNNNNNNNNNNNNNNNNNNNNNNNNNNNNNNNNNNNNNNNNNNNNNNNNNNNNNNNNNNNNNNNNNNNNNNNNNNNNNNNNNNNNNNNNNNNNNNNNNNNNNNNNNNNNNNNNNNNNNNNNNNNNNNNNNNNNNNNNNNNNNNNNNNNNNNNNNNNNNNNNNNNNNNNNNNNNNNNNNNNNNNNNNNNNNNNNNNNNNNNNNNNNNNNNNNNNNNNNNNNNNNNNNNNNNNNNNNNNNNNNNNNNNNNNNNNNNNNNNNNNNNNNNNNNNNNNNNNNNNNNNACAUAUCUAUUGGAACCGUACCUCCAACAGGAUAAGUUGGGAAAAGCAAUCAAUAAUUUAACUAAUUAAUUAAAAUUAUUAAAAAAAAAAGGUUGAGGGUGGGACAAAAUCAAAAUUAUUUUUUAUCCUUUACCUCCCCAUGAUACUAUUCAGUCAGGGCCUAGAGACAAAUUAAAUUAAUUAUUACUAAGAUAACAAUAUUAUAGGUAAAACAACUUAUUCUAAUUGAAUUAUUUAAUGAUACAUAUAUUACAUAAAUUAAAAAAUUAUAGAAAUUUUUAUUUAUAUUUAAUUAACUUCCAUUUACAUUGAUUCAAAUAAUAAGCAGUACCAAAUUUUUUUUUGUUAAUAAUAUAAAAUAUGUUAUUGGCAAUAAUAAAAGAAUGUAUUACAAAUAAUAAUACAUUUAAAUAUCUUGUAAUUUAGAUGUAUAUUUUUAUUAUUUAUUUCAUGUGGGAAUCCUCCUUGUUUUUCAGCAUCAAGUUCGUUUGAUUUAUUUAGUCUCAUGUAGCAGUGGUUGAUAAUUGUGUAGGUUAUUACGACUUCCAUACUAGGUGAUCUCUUCCUUUUAAAAUGUAGUUCUUGUUGUAAUAACUAAUGAUUAGUAUUUUCCAGAUAAGUUCUCUGACCGUUUUUAAUCAUUAACUAACAAUUCAUAUUUUUAACGUUUAUUAAGAAUUUUAGGUUUGUCUAUAAAUAAAUGAAAGGAAUUAAUAACAAAUUUAGUGAAGGAUGAACAAUUUUGGUAGAGUUAGGAUGUAAACGAAAAUAUAAACAAUUAAUUGUGGCAUUAAGUAUGAGAAAAACUCAAUCUAGACUACUCAUAUUUUGAUAUAUCAUUUGCCAUUAGAUCUUUAAAAGUCUAAUAAACUUAGGGUUACAAAUCCUUUUUUUUUCUAUCGUGCUCGAGUUCUACAGGACAUUGGAGAAGUCCUAGAAAAUUGAUCAAGGCAACCUGGCUACAAUUGAUAGAAAGGAAACGUUUAAAGUGGCUUGAUUAAUUUACAAGAACCCGGUUCGCGAGUCCAUGGUUUCUCUAGGAAGCCUCAGUCGGCUUAAGGUACCACAAUUCAUAGAAGCAUAAAAAAUAGCUUGAUGUAACAAAGAUUUGUGCGUUCUUUUAAAUUCAGCAUUUGAGUUCGUUAUGAUGAAGUUUCUGAGUUUCUUAAUCACCUAGAUAACAUCCUUUAUUGGCGGAGUCAAGUAUAAAAGGUGCUGAUGGGCAGGUGUGUCAAAGCAGAGUGAUUUGUGAUUAUCACACCAGUGAUCUUUACUAGCUCGGAGUGAAAAGAUCAUCCUUGUAAUCUUGUUAAUACUCUCUAUAUAUAACUUUACUCUCUUCUGAAAUCGAUUAAUCAAAUUUGUCUUUCACCUUGCACAGCUUGCUUAAACAUACUGAAUAUUUGCCUUCCUUUUUCCUUCAGGGUAGUUACUAAAAGUUUUAUAGUCUUGAGCAUGAUUUUAUUGUCAAAGUAUAAAUUUAUUCUUUGCUUUUUACGCUUAAUUCUGCAUGACUUUCUCUCAAAUAAGCAAAUUAAUUUGCAAAUUAUGCUCAAAGUGUUGUAUCCAUUUUUUUAAUGUUAAUUAUAAGCAUUCCCUCUAAAUGAAUAUGAUCAAAUUGUUACAUGGUCCAAAUUAGAAUUACGGUCACAAUGUUAGUAUACCGGAAAUUUGGCUAGGAUCGAGAAAUUAAACUUAGUUUUGUUUGUUAAGUUGGUUGAUAUGAAUAUGAAAAGACAUUGUAAUUCAACUUCUAAAGUCUCUUUAAUUUGUCUCGAACAUUUUGAUAACUUAAACAAAGUAUGUACAUUUGAUGACAAAAAAAGAAGGGUAUUGGAAAAGCCAACCCCAAAAUAUUUAGUCUUUCCGCUCUUUCUCUGGCAUAAUGUUCGGGGAGACAAAAUGCCCAGCAAACAAGUUAAUUUGAUCCGUUAGGAUCGAAAGAAACGUUAAUUAGUCAAUUCGUCCAUUAAUCUUGGUCACAAAUGUUUAUUCUAUGUUCUGGGACGACUUAUGGACUUUAAUUGUAGUUCGAAGGAGAAUAGCUAUCAAUACAAAGAUUUUUUUAACAGAACCGCAUGCAACAAGUGAACCUUUUGUUUGGAUAAUUUUAACAUCGUAGAUGUCUUUGAAAAUUUUUUCCUUAAGCAAUGGGGGAAAACUCUUCCCUACUUGAUCAGGCUUUGACUCAUACGCCUCUCAAAUGGUUGUUUAGAAAAAGCUUGUGGGCACGAUCCCCAUACCCCUAGAAACACUCCACCCCUUCAAAAUACAAAAGGUAUAUGAGGAGGAAACGAUAGGAGAGCAAGGAAAAAAAUAAUAAUAAUUCAAAACAAAGUCGAUACCUUUACAACAGUUCUACAUCUUUGCUAACUUAAGCAUCGCAGUGGAAUUCGGAAAUCUCAUUUUCCAAUUGUCCCAUUUCACAUUUUGGUUUAUUAUGUGUGCAAAUGACUUCCAUCUACCGCACUUGGUUCAGUUCACAUAGAAAAGAAAUAAGUAUUAACAAUCACAUAUAUUUUUUUAUUAUAUUUCCGAUAUGCUUUUCAUGUCCUUGCAUUAUAUAAAUAAAUAAAAAAAGAGAGAAAGAGAGAGAGAAUUGAAGAAUCUUCCCGGAAAAACAUUGAGCAUUAGAUCCUCACUGUCAGCCAUCAAUGAUAAUGGAGGUUCUUAUGUUGAGUUUUAUUACAGUCUCUGAUCAUACAUAUAAAGCAUUUAGUGACAGAAUAAAUUUAAAGAGUUAGACUGUAAUUUUUUAUAAAAAUUAAUUCGGUUCUCUUUUUGGUGGUGCAAGGAUCAUUGACAAUAACUUAUCUUGGGACCAUAACUUUUUAUCCUGAGCCCACACUCUUACAAUGUAAAAUCAAUAAUUUUUUAUAUCAUGAGUGACAUAGAACUUGUUUCCCAACUUUUUACUUAUAUUAUUAAUUUAAAGAGAACUUUACAUGAAGUGAUUUAAUUUAUAUAAAACUGAGCUAACUUACUGUUUUUUUUUUCGGGCUAAAAUUUUUAAGUAAUGACGUCUGAACUAACGAAAAUUUUCACUUACAUAUUCGAGUUCCAACAUAGUAUGCCAGUGAUAAACACAAAAAAAUUGAAAAAAAAAUAAAACGUCAUCUUACUGUUUAUUUGAUGGAAACCAAAUGUUCAAAGUGACUUGAUUUACAAGAACCCGAUCGGCGAGCCCAUGCUUUGCCUAGGUAGCCUCAGUAGCCAUGCGUUGUAAUAAUUAAUAUAAGCAUCAAAAAGAAAAUUUGUUUUGAUGUAAUAAAGAUUUGUACUUACUAAAUUCAGCAUUUCAGUUCGUUAUGAUGAAGUUUCUGAGUUUCGUAAUCAAGUAAAAUAGCAUCCUUUAUUAGCUGAGUCAAGUAUAAAAUUAAGGUGCUGAUGGGCAGAGUGAUUUGAGAUCAUCACACCAGUGAUCUUUGCUAGCUCUGAGUGCAAGAUAAUGUUUGUAAUCUUGUUAAUACUCUGUAUAAAUAAUACUCUCUUCCGAAAUCCGUUGAUCAUAUUUGUCUUUCACCUUGCAGAACUUGCUCACACAAUGAAGAUUACUGCAUAUUUGUCAUUUCUUUUUUCCAAGGAAAUUAUUAUGACAGUAUUGAGAUUUGAAAUGAUUGUUUGCAAAUUUUAUAGUUUAAAAUUAAGCAUGGAUUUAUUACCAAAGUAUGUUUAUUCUUUGCUCUAUGCUUAAUUCAUCAUUACUUGAUUACAGAUAAGUAAAUUAAUUUGAAAAUUAAGCUCGAAGUGUUAUAUGCAUUCUUCCAAUAUUAAUUACAAGCAUUCAAUAUGAUGAAACUGUUACAAGGUGCAAAUCAAAAUUAUGGUAACAAUGUUAGUAAAUAGGAAAGCUAGCUAGUCCCGACAAAUUCAAUACAGUCUCGUCUAUUAAAUUGGUCGAUACGAAGGUGAAUAGAAAUUAUAAUUCAACAUUUAAAGUCUCUCUGUCUCACUCAUUUUAAUAUCUUAAUCAAUGCACAUUAAUUUGAUGACAAAAAAGAAGGGUAUGGAUAAGCCAACCCCAAAAUAUUUAGAAUUUCCAUCCUCUCUCUGGCGUAAUUUUCGGGGAAGCAAAUGCCCAGUGAACAAAAGUUUGAUCAAUCAAUGAUUGGAUCCAAAGAUACGUAAAUUAGUCAAGUCUUUCCAUUAAUUUUGAUCACAAAUGUUUAUCCUAUUUUGUGGGACGACUUGCCAUGGACUUUAAUUGUAGUUGGAAGGGGAGUGGCUAUCAAUACAAAGAUUAUUUUGACAGAAUUGCUUGCAACAAGUGAACGUUUUGUUUGGGUAAUUUUAAAAUUGUAGAUGUCUUUUAAGACUUUUGCCUUAAGCAAUUGGGAAAACUCUUCCCUACUUGAUCAAGCAUCGACUCAUACACCUCUCAAUUGCUAGUCUAGAUUCUAUAUAAUUUUGGCUCGUGUGGAAAAAGCUACUCGUGGAUUCCUCCUAAUAACUCCAAUGAUUUUUCCUGAAAUUAAAACCAUAAUCUUUAGCCUUUAACCAUUUAGACUUUGGGCACGGACGAACAUUGUGUUAUGUAGUUCAUAGUCGAAGUGAAAACGGUCUAUAUUUUAGCCAAUAUUCGGUACAUAAAAACAUACUUUGAAAGUUAAUUAAUCUAACGGAACUCAUUUUUUAGGGGGAAAGGAAUCAAUUUACAGGCAUAUACCUUCAAAAAUUAGAUUACUCAAUUUACAGGCAUAUACCUCUGCAAAUAGAUUUAAUGUCAACGUAGUCAAUCCCAAAAAGUCUACACAAGUACAAAAAUGGUGCAAAUCACGGGAAGCUUAUCCGUCUUAUCAACGCUUGAAAACGUGCUGAGAAUUUGUUAGAUUGAACACCGUGUGGACUGACUCCAUCAGUUGCCCCACAAAAGUUAAUGCAGUCCGCAAUAGUUGUACGCCAAAGCAUUAUAAUUUUUCUAUUGCCUUUUAAAUUGGCCAGUUGCUAAUGAGAACUCAAAAAUGACAGUCGUAAUUUUAUGAACCACCAAUAAUAAUGGAGCCUCUUAUGUUGAGUUUUAUUACAGUCUCUGAAUUCUGACUUUUUUUUAUUUUUUUAUUUUUUUAAAGUCCUGUACGCUGGUGGCGUAUGUAUUAUACAAUCUGGGUAUAUCUAUUGGGAGUCUGAUUCAUACAUAUGAAACAUUUAGUGACAGAAUAAAUUCGAAUUAGACUGGGACCACACCAUUUUAUCCUGAGGCCACACUCUUAUAAGGUAAAAUCAAUAAUUUUUAUAUCAAGAAGUGACAUAAACUUUGUUUCCCAACUUUUUAAAUAUAUUGUUUAUUUAAGGAGAACUUUACGUGAAGUGAUUUUAUUUGUAUAAAAAUGAGCUAACUUACUGCUUUUUUUUUUUGCCAUAAUUUAUAAGUAAUAACGUCUGCGCUAAUGAAAAGUUUCAAUCAGAUAUACAAGUUCCAAUAUAGUAUGCUACUGAUAAAAAAAUAAAAAAAUAAAACAUCAUCCUGCUGUUUAUUUGAUGGAAACCAAAUGUUUGAAGUAGCUUGAUUUACAAGAACCCGCUUUGCGAGUCCAUGUUUUGUCUAGGAAUCCUCAGUAGCAUAGGCGGUGCCACGUUAGGACUAGAGCCCCCCUAACUUUCAAAAUUACAAAUUUAAUUUUAUAUUUGUCUCAUUUAUUAUAAAAUUCCUUAUUAAAAUUAAACAAAUAAUCAAAAUAUUAAGUAUUUAUCUUUAACUUCCAACCCACAAAGAUAUUGUUAUUUUGAGAUUUGUUGCACGCUAACUCUCCUCACACAAAGAAAAAAAGAAAUUAUUUUAUCUUAUUGCGUUUAUUAAAAUGAUUUUACUUCAAUAAAUCUUAUGACACUUAAAAUUCAAUUUGAUGUUUAUAUUACAUAGGUGGGUUCUAAUAACAAAUUUUCAAAAUUGAAAGAGAUUGAUAGGUUAACAAGAAAAAUAGUUGAUACUAAAAAAGAUAAAUUAUGUUCAUUAAUUUGUUUAUUGAUAACAUUAGUAUUAAAUUUACUUGUUGUCAUAACUACAGUAGUAAAAGGCAUUUUCAACUAUGAAUUUUGUGAAAAAUCGUCUAUGAAAUUAGAUUAGAGAUUAAUAAUUGAGUAAUAUUAUUAUUACACAUGUAGAAAAAGAUUAAUUUUGUAUUCUUGAUGAUAAGUUUAUUUUUUAACGUUUUUAACAUAUGAAAACACGUCGAGAUCAAUUAUAAAUGUAUUGAAUAUAUUAAUGAAUUUUUAUUUUUGAUACUUGUUAUUUAUUGACAUUUUUCAAAUUACAAUAUUAUUUAUACUUAGCCCCUGCUAAGUUUAAUUUCUGGCACCGCCACUGCUCAGUAGCUUUGCGUUAUCAAUCACAAUUAAUAGAAGCAUCAAAAAUAGCUUUUUUUUUAAAUGUAAUAUAAGAUUUGUACUUCUAAGUUCAGCAUUUGAGUUCGUUACGAUGAAGUUUCUGAGUUUCUUUACGAACUAACAUAACAUCCUUUGCAUUUUCUCAUCAAAUAAUAAUAAUAAUAAUAAUAACAUCCUUUAUUAGCCGAGUCAGGUAUAAAAGGUGCUGAUGGGCAAGUGUGUCGAAGCAGAGUGAUUCGUGAUUAUCACAAAUGUGAUCUUAACUAGCUCUGUGUGAAACUGGUCGAUAUGAAUAUAAAAAGAAAUUGUAAUUCAACUUUUAAAGUCUCUCUGUCUCAACCAUUGUAAUAUCUUAAUCAAAAGGUACAUUUGAUGGAAAAAAAAAUAUUUGAUGGCAAAAAAUAUUUAGACUUUCCAUUCUCUCUCCGCCAUAGUUUUGAGGAGAUAAAUGCCCAGUAAGCAAGUUUGAUCAGUUGCUGUUAGGAUCCAAAUAAACGUUACUUAGUCAAUUAAUUUGUCCAUUAAUCUAGACCAAAAAUGUUUAUUCUAUUUUCAUAAUUCAACCCCAACCUUGGGCAUGGAUUUUUUUUUUUAAAAUUGUUAUAAUAUGAGAAUCUAAAAAUUAAAAUUUAUGGUGUGUUUACUUGUGAAAUUGGAAAAUCAAAAUUCACAGUGGGAAUGAUUGAUAUUUUUUACUUGUUAAAAUGGAAUGGAGAAUCGGAAUAAAAUAUGUAAUAUCCACAUAUUUUUUAGUCAAGGAAAAGAAAUUUGAUUCGCAUGGGAUUGAGAAUCAAGCUUGCAUUCCUUGAAUUCACCAUUUUUCCCAACACACAUUUCAUAAUUUCAUUUUUUGUCCUCAAUUAAAAUAUUAUUUUAAGUUAUUGUCAUUAUUCUAAUAAUAAUAAUAAUUUUAAAAUAAUAAUAAUAAUCAUCAUCAUCAUCACCAUAAUGAUAAUGAUAAAUAUAAUAAUAAUGAAAAUAACAACAACAACAAUAAUAAUAACGAAAAAUAAUGAUAUUAAUAACCAUAAUAAUAAUAAUAAUGAUAAUCUAAUAAUACUAUAAAUAACUAUUAUUAUAAUAGUAAUAAUACUUUACAGUUAGUAAUUUCAUCAUUUCACAAGCCUCCUUCAGUGGCUGAUUUUGGGCAUCUUGCGGAUCUUCGCGUUUAUCAUAUCCACCUUUUAAAAGAAGAAGAAGAUGAUGACGAUGAUGUGGUGUGUGCGUGUGUUUAGAACUGUACCUUCAGCCAGUCUUUAGUUUUAAGAAAGAGUAGGAGAGGAGGGGGAAAAAAUGGAGAGGAGUGGAGGGGUAAUGAGAAAUUGAUUUCUAUUGUUUGGCUUUACAAAAAAAAUUAAAGGGAAAGAAAUUACAUGUUUUUUUUAUUUGGACAAGUACACCCAUUGGACUUUAGUGUUAAAAUGUUAAUAUUAACAGUAAAUAUAAUAAAAAAAAUUAAACUAUAAAUUAAAUUAAUCUAGAACACAAAUUAAUAAGAAAACAUUUAAUUUUAUAUUAUAUUUUUAAUUGAUUGCUUCUUAUUUUAUAAUCAAAAUAACUAACCAAAAAGUAGUAGAUGGACGACUAAAAGUUGCAUAUCGACGUAGAAGAACCUGACAUACGGCUCAAACGGUGAUUGAUUUACUGAACUGCAACCAAAGGAACCAUUUUUUGGAUAAUUUCAGAGCAAUAGUAUUCAGACUACUAUGUAAAAAACAUUCUAAUCUUGGAAAACUUUUCCACCUUAUGAAACAUUGGAAAAAUCUUCCCAACUUGACACAUCGACUUGUUGACCUCUCAAUUGCACUUGUGUGUGGCUUCUAUAAAUUUGGCGUCCAGCAUGCUUGUUUUCUGCACCUUUGUAUGUUUUCCAAAAGCUAAGAGUCAUCAAAAGAUCUUUUGAAUUUCAAUGACACUUCGGUUUAACUUUAUUUAUUUGAUUCUGUUUUUGUAAUAUCAAUGGGGUCACCAACCCUCAGUACAGUAGUUCCUUCACUUGUUUUGUUGAUCCUAUUUUUUGUGUUAAGUUUUUUAAUAACUGUUUCUUCAGAAUCUAAUGAAGAAGCUGAUGCUCUUCUCAAAUGGAAAGCCAGCCUUCAAAGCCAUAACCAAUCUCUCCUUCCUUCCUGGACUAACGCCACCACCAAUGUUUCGUCCAAAAUAAGCCCGUGUGCUUGGUAUGGAAUCAGUUGCGAUGACGCUGGAAGAGUCACCAACAUCAGCCUCAGAAAUACGGGAUUAAGUGGUACGCUUCGUGAUUUGUCAUUCUCAUCGUUUCCUCAACUUGUGCUUCUUGAUCUCAGUCAUAAUGGAUUGUUUGGUACCAUCCCAUCUCAAAUUGGUAACCUUUCGAAACUCAGCUACAUUUCUUUAGAUUCCAAUCAGUUUUCCGGAAAAAUUCCAGCGGAGGUUGGUCUUCUGACUCAUUUGAAGAUCCUUGGUUUUCAAUUCAAUCAAUUAGAUGGCUCAAUUCCACCAGAAGUUUGUCAGUUAAGUUCUAUCGAGGAGCUUUUCUUAUAUGCUAACCAUUUAAACGGGUCGCUUCCUCUUUUUGUGGGUAACUUGAGCAAUAUCAUUCGAUUGUAUAUUAGUAAUAAUUCACUUUCUGGUUCUAUUCCUAUGAACAUUGGAAACUUGAAAUUUCUUUUUGAAUUAGAUUUGAGUGAUAAUCAACUUGGUGGUUCAAUUCCUCUUUCUUUUGGUAACUUGAGUAACUUGGCUCGAUUGUACCUUUAUAAAAAUUUACUCAUUGGUUCUAUUCCGUCAAGUUUAGGAAACUUGAAGCUCAUUGACUUACAGUUGAGCAUUAACCAACUCACUGGUUACAUCCCAUAUUCCUUAGGUAAUGUAACAAGUUUAUCAUCUUUACUUCUAGCCAAAAAUAAGCUCUAUGGUUCUCUUCCGCCAUUUGUUGGUAAUUUGACCAACCUAAAAGAAUUAUACCUCCUUAAUAACAGCCUAUCCGGUUCCAUUCCUCCCUCCCUUGGGAAUUCAAUGUUAACCUAUCUAGUAUUGGAUUUCAAUCAUUUUACAAGUUAUUUACCGCACAAUGUUUGUCGAGGUGGAGCAUUACAGUAUUUUACUGUUUCUGAAAACCAUUUUCAAGGAACAAUCCCUAAAAGCUUGAGAAAUUGCACAAGCUUAUUCCGAGUACGCUUUAAUGGAAACAACCUUACUGGAAAUAUAUCAGAAGCUUUGGGCACUUAUCCUAACUUGACUUUUAUAGAUCUCAGCCGCAAUAAUUUUUACGGUGAAAUCUCAUUUAAUUGGGGGAAAUGCCCAAAAUUAGGCACUCUCAAUGUUUCGAUGAAUAACAUUACUGGAGGUAUACCGCGUGAGAUUGGAAACUCGUAUCAACUACAAGCACUUGAUCUUUCAUUGAAUCAUAUAGUUGGGGAGAUUCCAAAGGAACUGGGAAAGUUAAAUUCUCUAACCAAGCUCAUUUUGAGAGGGAAUCAACUGACAGGGCGUCUACCUACCGAAAUCGGCUCACUCAUUGAACUUGAAUACCUCGACUUUUCUGCUAAUAAGUUCAACAAUUCAGUACCAGAAAGUCUCGGCAACUUGCUGAAAUUGUACUACUUGGGCUUAAGCAACAACCAGUUUGUCCAAGAAUUGCCAAAGGAAUUGGAGAAGCUAGUUCAACUUUCAGAAUUAGAUGCAAGUCAUAACCUCUUUGGAGGAGAGAUACCAUUUCAAAUAUGCAGUUUGAAAAGCUUGGAAAAGUUGAAUCUCUCCCACAAUAAUCUCUCCGGUUCGAUUCCAAAUUGCUUUGAGGGAAUGCACGGUCUAUCAGUCAUUGACAUUUCUGAUAAUCAAUUGCAAGGCCCAGUUCCAAAUAGCACAGCAUUUCGGAAUGCCCCAGUGGAAGCGUUAGAGGGGAAUAAGGAAUUGUGUGGAAGUGUGAAAGGAAUGCAACCAUGCAAAGUUUUCUCGACACACAAGCAAAAUUCUGGAGCCAAGUGGUUUGCACUAGUGUUCCCUGUUUUAGGAGCACUAUUUGUUUCAAUGGCGUUGAUAGCAAUUUUCAUUCUCCGAAAGCAUAAGUCAGACUCAGGAGAUCGACAGAGUAGCAACCAGAACCCUCAGGGAUUGUUUUCUAUAUUAAAUUUCGAAGGGAAACUCGUGUACGAUGAAAUUGUUAGAGCAACAAAUGAUUUUGAUGCAGAGUAUUGCAUUGGAAACGGUGGACACGGAAGUGUUUAUAGAGCUGAGCUACCAUGUGGGGAAGUCGUAGCUGUUAAGAAAUUUCACUCACCACUCCCAUGUGAUCAGAUUGCAGAUCAAAAAGAAUUCUUGACCGAAGUUCAAGCCUUGACAGAGAUACGACAUCGAAACAUUGUGAAGUUUUAUGGAUUUUGCUCACAUGCCCGACACUCUUUUUCGGUCUAUGAAUUUCUUGAAAGGGGUAGCUUGGCUGCGAUCUUGAGCAGUGAUGCAGCAGCACAAGAACUGGGUUGGAUUCAGAGAAUGAAUGUGAUCAAAGGCGUAGCUGAUGCUCUGUCUUACUUGCACCAUGACUGCUUUCCUCCGAUUGUCCAUCGAGACAUAUCAAGUAAGAACUUGUUGCUGGAUUUGGAAUAUGAAGCUCAUGUUGCAGACUUUGGAAUCGCUAAGUUUCUGAAGCCAGACUCGUCCAACUGGACUGAAUUUGCAGGCACAUACGGAUACGUUGCACCAGGUAUUUAUGUAGUACAUUCAGCAGACUUGUAAAAGCUUACUAGUUUAUGCACAUUUAUCUCAUAAACAGAGUAAACAUUUUUUUUUUUGGGUCCUUGACCUUGCAGAGCUUGCUUACACAAUGAAGAUCACAGAGAAAUGCGAUGUGUACAGUUUUGGAGUGUUAGUGUUGGAAGUGAUCAAAGGGAAGCAUCCAAGAGAUUUUCUUUCUUCGAUUUCAUCUUCAUCUCUCAACACGGAUACAGCACUUGAUGAAAUGUUGGACCCGCGUCUUCCAGCUCCAUCAUGCAGUGUUCAAGAAAAACUGAGAUCAAUCGUGGAGGUUGCGUCUUCAUGCUUAAAUGAGAGUCCGGAGUCUAGACCAACUAUGAAGAUAGUCAGUCGACAAUUGCAGAUUUCAGCUGCCUUGACUGAGUCUUAAUUUUCUAAGUAUACUUCUAAUUUACUUGGUGUCUUUUUUUUUUUUCUUUCUUCUAAUUUGCUUGGUUUAUUUGUCUCAUGUACUGUCGUUUGAUUGGUUUAGUUUUCAAGAAUCAGGAGGCGUUGGUUAUUACGUCAUCCAUAUAUAAUUGGUAUAUGGUGUACUCUUUUCAUUUAUAAAUAAAGUUUGCUCAUACCUUAGAAGUUUAGUUAAAAGAACGCAUGGGGCAGUGGUGAGCACAUUUGAGGACAUGUGGAGUCUGUACAAUGAAGAACAAGAUUAGUAAGACAGUUUGUAAUAAUUAAAAAUAAUAAUUUCUUGCGACAUGUACAAAAAGGUGAACCCCUCAAAUUUAAACUUGAAAGUGCGUACCACUGUAUUAAUUAAUGGCUGGCUCUUACGUACCAAUAAUGUUAAAUUAAAUGUUAAAAGAAAGGAAUAGAUAUGGGGAAAAAAUUAAAAAUUGAGGAUAAUUUACAAUGUAGUCCUAGUGAUUUAACCAAAAAUCAAAUAAAGCAAUAAUAAUUAGUUUUUUUUUUUUGAAUGAUUUGUCUUAGCUUUGAGUAAACGAUUUGAAGGAACUUAUCGCUCUCACCAAUUGUCUUGAAUGCUCUAAUGGCUUAUACUUUGUAGAAUCGCCAAUGUUGUGAUAACAACUUUGAUGGUUAAAGUUUGAUUGUGAAUCUCGAUUGAAUGACUUAAUUUACGUUAAUCUUGUUUCUGGAUGUUUAAUUUUGUCAUGUCAAAGUUAAUGCAGCCACAAAAGAGUUAAGCGGGCUGGAGUCAGAGAAUGAAUGGGAUAAAAGGCGUUGCCGAUGCCUUGUAAUAUUCGUUUGUUGCCAUUUUGAGGAAUAUUAUUAUGCAACACAUUCUAUAGAGAUAUAACAGCUUACUAAUUUAUACGCAUUGAUCUUUAAAAAGAGAGUAAACAUUUUUUUUUCUUUUUUUUAUUUGUCCUUGACCUUGUAGAGCUUGCUUACACAAUCAAGAUCACAGAAAUAUACGAGGUGUACAGUUUCGGAGUGUUAGUAUUGGAAGUGAUCAAGGGAAAGCAUCCAAGAGAUCAGAUGUAUUUUUUCCGCAGUUUCAGCUUCAUCUUCCAAUGCCGCUUGAUGAAAUGUUGGAUUCUCGGCUUCCACUUGAUCCAUAGUUCGAUGUUCAGAGCAAGUUGGUCAUUACUGUUUGAAUUUUAAAUAUCUGCCUUCAUUUCUGCUGCACAAGUUAAUUAUACGCAUCAUGCUUAUGCAGGCCUUAAUUCGGAGCAAAAUAAUGUUAUUAGUUGACAGAAUGUGCAACUAGAGAAUGAUGUAAUUCAUAGUUAAUUAGUCUGUCUUCAACACAAAAUAGAAAAUUUAGUUGACAGAUGGCCACAAAAGACUAGCUUCGUUUUUGCUAAAAAAUAAAUAAAAUCUGCUUCUAUGCCCCCAAUUUCAAAACUAUCAUUGAUAUAGAGCCAUUGAACCUGGGCUUCAUAUUCAACUUUUCAGCGUUCCAUUUCUAGCCUGAAGUUUUUGAGAGCUUGGACGCACUUGACACUACAUAACCCUCGCGAGAUAUGUCCCAAAUCCCCUGGGCCAUAAUUUUGCUACAAAACCCGACAGAGUUAAUGAUCCUUAUUAAUUAUGAAUUACAUCGUCCUUUGGUUGCACAAGUUUGGAUAAAAAUCGGCUGAGUUUGUGUGGACUAUUAAGCACUAAAUCAAUAGUUGAGAUUUGUCCAACGUGAAUUAACAAAAAAAUUGUGAAUGAAGUUUUGUUUGGUAUUAAGGUAUUGUUAUCUUUAAAUCACAAUUAUUGUGAAAAAUAAAGGUAUAAUAAAAAAGUAAAAGUUAGUAAUUUGUAAUAAAUAUAACUUUUAAAUGAUAAUUUUGAUAAAAAUAAUAAAGAUACAUAAGUUUUCUAUCAUUUCAGUUUCUAAGUUAUAGUGAUGAUAGAGUUACAAACUCUUAUAUAAAUUUAUUUUGUAUAAACUGAUGCAUAAAUUAUUUGUUAGAUAAAAUCAUAAAAAUAUAAAAUAAUAAAAUAAAUUAUGUGAAACAAAAAAUAUUUUAUUUAAUUUAAUUAUGUCAUAUUAAUUUAUAUAAAAUAAAAUUAUAUAAAAAUUUAUAGUUAGGUUAUUGAUCUGCACCGAUAUGUAGAGUCUUCUAUUUAUGUUAGCGUAAACCAGCACCUAUACAUACAGUAUUCUAUUUGGUUGAGUGCACUAUCCAAUUUUUCCGUCCAAUAUGAUUACUCUUAAAAUAAAAACCAUGGACCCCAUGAACGAGACGUCACGUGGGCCCACUAAUCUUGAUGAUCAUAUCUUUUUCAUGCCAAAAAAAAAACACCCCCGCUUUACAACGACACCGUCUUUUCUUUGUCUUUCCUUUCGUUUUCGUCAGCCUCCACCAACCCUUAAAUAGCCGCCCCAUUUUCUUUCACUCCGAGCCAUUGUCCACGCGUCCCACCAUGAUUGCUUCUCCGGUUCUAAUCACAAGAUUUUCGUCAAAUGGACGUACGAGAUGGGCCCCAUCUCUGCGCAGACCACACCGUCUAUUCUCUUUGUGAAAAGAAAAUAAAACUAUUAAAAUCUGUAAAUCAUUCUAUCUUCUCGUGAUAAAUUGAAUUCAACUCUUUUUUUAAUCUUUUAUUUAUAAAUAGUAAAUAAAAAAAUGGGUAAUUUUUAAAAACCUCCCUUGAGGUUUGGGCUUGUUGCAAGUAGAUAGCGAGAAUUGAUUUAUUUGUAAAAAACCCCCUACCGUCAGUUAAGUUUAACAUUGACCGUUAGUUGACCGUGCAAAGACAAUAUUACCCUUAACAAUAGUUUAUAAACGAAAAUAACUAAAAAAAAACCAAAAUUAUUAGCUAUUUUACACUUUUUAAAUUAUUGAUAUUUUCUUAAAGUUUCUAUAAAAAAGUUAAAAUUAAAAAAUUAAAAAAUCCUCUUUAAAUUAUUGAUAUUUCCUUAAAAUUCCUACAAAAAAGAUAAAAUUAAAAAUUUAAAAAUGAAAUAGUCAUAAUCUUUAACUAUGAUAUUGUAAAUUUUUAAAAUUGACAAGGAUAAAAUUAUCAAAAAAUAGGGUUUGUGCUUUUUGCACCAAUAAUUUUAGUUUUUUUUUAGUUAUUUUCGUUUACAAACUAUUGUUAAGGGUAAUAUUGUCUUUGCACGGUCAACUAACGGUCAAUGUUAAACUUAACUGACGGUAGGGGGUUUUUUACAAAUAAAUCAAUUCUCGCCAUCUACUUGCAACAAGCCCAAACCUCAGGGGAGGUUUUUAAAAAUUACCCAUAAAAAAAUCAAAAGAAUUCAACUGAAUAUUCCUUUUGAGAAAUUAUAAAAACAGAAUUAUACAGUGGUGAACUUCCUUGCACGAACAUGACCUUGAUUUAAUUUAUUGAACAUACGUAUAUGUUACUUUAAUAUAUUUUUUUCUUAUAGUUUACAAAAUGUAGUGCUUAUUUUCUUUCGUAUACCAAAUAAUGGAUGUGUAUGUAGGUUGAAGCAAAUAUAAUUUUAUAAACUAACAUUAUGUUGUAUCGUAUUUGGUAUACUAUUUAAUUUUGACAUCUUAUGACAUUAUUAUUAAAUCUUCAAUAAAGAUUCUUCAUUGUAUUAAACAAUUUUCUAUAUAAUAUAAAUUAUGUAUUUCGUCAUAAUAGAAGCUGUCAAGAAAUAUUGUUUCAACUUUAUAUUAAGAAUUUGUAUUCAUAAAUAUAUAAUAUGAUCUAAACCUUAAACAUUAAAAUUGUUUCAUAACUUAAUUAUCAAUAAAAGAUUUAACAAUUUUUUAAUUAUUGAUUGUAAAUAUUAGCACAUUAUAAUACAAUAUUAAAAUAACCUUAAUCUAUUACUUCACAUUGUAAAUCUAUAGAAUUAAUUUGAAUUAGUAAAAUUAUUAAGCCAAAGUUAGAAAGAUAUAUCAAAUUUGGCUAGAACUACCUAUUAAAGAAACAUUUACGUAUUCUAUAUGGAUACAUUAUGUGGCAGAAAAAUGAAAACUUUGGCUAGUCAACCAAUUAAUCAAACAAGGUCCCCUGAAUAUAAUGAGAACUUGACCUUUUGUUGUAUAUUAGCAACAAGUUGAGUGUUGUGUGACUUAAGAUUAAAAUAUUAAUUAAACUACAAAAUUAUAUCAUUUAAGAAAUUAUAUUUAGGUAUUUACUUAAUUAAAAUUUUAGUUAGCCGCCUAGUGACUUAGAUUUAGAAUUUUAGAUAAGACUCUAGUUCAUCUCUCAUGUGAGAAUGUUAAUUCACUAAGCAUCAUGUGGCAUUUUCUUUAAAGAUUUUUUAAUUGUUUGAUGGUUGUGAGAGUAAAAUUUAAAUUAAUAAAAAUAAAUAUAAUUAUCAUGUUAACGGGACCACAUCUUAGUCGCUAAUUCAUAUAAGAAUAUGAAUUCAAAUAUCACAUAAAUAAAAUUAAAAAAAAAUAGAUUUAUUAACAUCGCAGUUACAAGUUGACUUUAAAUUUUUAAUGAAUCUGUCAUUAUAUUUUUUUCGCUGAAUAAUCAUAUUAAUAUUUAAGUUAUUAGAUAAGGAUCCAACAUUAACAUUUGAAGUUUAUGCUUUAAUAAAUUGUGUAAAUUCGAUAACAAAAACAUUAAAUUCAAACAAAAGUAAAAUUUACAUGUUGUUCAGCUAGUCUUGGAAUAACAGAGUACUUGUGCAAUACUUAUUACGACCAAAAGAAAAUUUUUUGAUUGGCCAUGUCUUUCAAAUUCGUAAUCAAAUGGCAGAUGUUUUAACUAAAUUUGUACUCUGUCGCUUUGAUUUUUAUGUUUGGCUCGAUCCCAGCCAAUUACUUUAUUAUUUUUUAUUGGUUAUUCGGAAAUAAAUGAAGUCUAUUAUUCAGAAAAAUAAUUACCUGCAAAAAUCGUACUCCAUUUUCAAUUAUUCGUAUCCAGAAUCUUACAAAAAGGUAAUAAUAUUCCUAAUUAAUUAAAAAAAAUGAUGCGCAAGCAGGCAAGUCCACACGAAACCGACCGAAAAGCGCAAAAGAAAAACAAAAGAAAAGAAAAAGAAACACGUUCAUUCAAUUUAUCGUGAUACGAUAAAUGCUUAACAAAAUGUCAUAUCAAUUUCACCAUCAAAACUACGGUAAUUUCUUAUAUAGAUUAAAAAAAAUUAAAAGCAAAUAAAAACAAAAAAAAAAAGCAACAACUGUACUGCAACUUAGCGUUCCCAAUUUUCCAAUAAAUAAAAUAAGAGUUAUUUUAAAUAUCCCUCCCGAUUUGAUAUAAUUCCAGUUAGAUGGUGAAAUUAAUUAUAUUCUCACUUAUCUUCUUUACGGUUAUUAUACAUACACAUAUAACGUUAGUAUUUGAGGGCAAAAAUGUACAAGACAUGUUGAAAAUCUAAAAAAAAAAUUAACAAUUAAAAAUGGUUUGAAAUUCAUUAGAUAAUUAUAUUAUCCAAUUACACUAAAUAUCUAUUGUGUAAAAUAGUGAAUUUUCUCUUUCUCCAGCACAAAAAAGUAAUGAAAAUAUCUUGCUCUCACAUCAAGAAUCAAAGCAUUUUCCACUCUACUCCCCUACUCUCAGUUGCUAGAACAAAAGUAAAUAAACAAUAUAUAACCCAUGAAAAAGACAAGCAUGGGUGGUCGGAAAAGGCCAUCGACCAGUGACGAUUGACGGCGGUCGGGAUAUGCCACUGGUAUUGGAGUUUGUAAGAAGUUAGUUACUUUAUUAAAGUCUAAAAUUUUUAAAUACCUUUAAUUUUUCUUAUUUUUAGAGAUUUCAUAAGUAGUUGUUGGUUGGGUUUGAUUUUCUUGUUCAUUGGGUUGAUGGUGGAAAAAUUGAUUAAAAAGAGAAUGGGUUUAGCAAUAUGUGGGCAUGAGUUGAAAAAAAAUUGUUAUUGGUUGUGUUUUUGUUUGUGAUUUACACCAUAAAUAGUAUAAUAAAACAUAUAAAACUAAUAAUUUGUGAUUUUUAUGACAAAUAUGUAUGUAAAAUAGAAGUAGUCUUAGCUGUAAUGUUUAUUUUUUCGGCCAAAGUUUACUAAAGUUGAUCUGUUUAUAAAUUUGUAGUAUUUUUGUGCGCCCGUCGCACAAACACAAUUUUUGUGUUUUUUAGCGACAGGGGCCUGUCCCCCGUGCGACAGACCCACGUUGCACGAACACAGUUUUUGUUUUUGGGCGACAGCAUUAUCGCCCGUGUGACGGGCUUAUGUCGUCUGAAUUCAAUUUCUGUGUUUUUGGGUGACAAUGCUUGUCAUACAGGCGACAACCCUUGUCGCCCAAAAAACACAGUUUAUGCUUAAUAUUAAUUCAAAAUAAAAAUAGUAAACAAACACACACACACACAUAAUUAAAACAUAUAUAUACAUUAUUAUUAUCACAAUUAUUAUUAAUAACUUUAUUAAAAUGUAUUACUAUUAUCAUUAUUUUUCUUUAUUAUUGUAAACGUUGUUUUUAUUUUUUAGUAAUAUCGUUGUUGUUGUUGUUGUUGUUGUUAUUAUUAUUAUUAUUAUUAUUUUUCUUCUUCUUCUUCUUCUUCUUCUUCUUCUUCUUCUUCUUCUUCUUCUUAAUUAUUACUUUGUUUUCACUUAUUAGUGUCUGCAUAUUCACAUAUGAUCGGGACGAAAUGCCAACUGAACCGUCUGUUGUUUCACUAGAACCUGCAGCAGAAAUGGAUUGGUUUGACUUAGCAGACGAGAAUAAGUUUGCUCUCCCUGAUUUGAAUGAUGAGGUUCACAUUGAGUAGGUGACAGCAAUAGAAGCUUCUCUUGAGAGGAUGCCAGCAAAUGACGAUGGAGAUCACUAUGCGGAUGAACCUACAAAAAAUGAUAUUGACAAUGAUUUGCCUCACGCUGAUAGCGAAGGAGAGUUUAAUGAAGUUGUUGGCGCUGCGCUUGAGUUUUUGUAUAUUCUGUAUAAAUGUGAUACUAACGAACUCACAUUAUAGUGACAAUGCCAUGUAUAAAGUAUAACUUAACUAUCAUAGCAUAUUGUUAGUGCAAUUGUUCUUUUUGUGUAUAUGAGUGACUGUUGGAUGUAUAGGUUGAUGAAAUUGAGUCAAUUUGUGACUGUCACCAACUGUAAGCUGCGGAAAUGCACAUGUCGUUGUAAUUUAAAUUAUGAUGUCAUUCUACUUAGUAUUAUUUUCUAAUUCAAUUAACUCAUACUAUUUUUUUUUCCUUUUGGUACAAAUUUAAAUGUUUGUUAUUUAUGUUGUUGGUUUGGUGAUAUACAACUUGAUGGUUUGGAAUUUACUUAUUUCUUUAAACAACUAAAAUACUACUAGUUUAGUGGUGAUGGAAUCCUUUAAUGUAUUUUGGAGACUGACAUAGUCUGUUGCUGAGAAAACUAAAUUAUAUUUUAGUGGUUUUGAUUUCACGCGACAGUUUCUGUCUCCCAAGAGACGAGCAUUCGUCACUCAAAAUUAGUUAAACAAGUUUUCUGUAAUUUGGUGAGACAGCCACCUGUCUCCCGGGAGAUGAGCAUUCUUCACUUAAAAUUACAUAAACAAGUUUUCUGUAAUUUGGGGAGACAAACACCUAUUGCCCAGGAGACAGUGCAUGUCACUUAAAAAGUAGGCGCGAUUGCGAUAGGCCCUGUUGCGUGCGCGAUUUUAUAGAAAUCCAAAAUAGCCUCUUAAGCUUGUUGUCGCAAACGUUUUGUACUAGAUGAUGAGUUUACAAAACAUGACUUUGCAUGAAUGCACCAUCAACACCUUAAUCUACCUAAAAUGAGACAAAAAAUCCCUAAUAGAUAUUUUGUCGAGCACCUCAUGUGCCAUUUAUUAACUACCAACUUCAUUAAAUCAUUUUUUAAUAUUUACUCGACAAUCAAUCCUAAUGCUCAUUUAUAAUCAUCUAUACACUCAUCUGUCAUCAAUCAAUCUUAGUAUAUGUUACUUUAAUUCAACUGAUAUUCCUUUUGAGAAAUUAUAAAAACAAAAAAUUAUACGGUAGCCAACUUCCUUGCAUGAACAUGACCUUGAUUCAAUUUAUUGAAUAUACAUAAAUGUUACUUUAAUAUACUUUUUUUUAUAGUUUACAAAAUGUAGUGCUUAUUUAUAAAAUUUUUUGAUUCGCCAUGUCUUUCAUAUUUGUAAUCAAAUGACAGAUGUUUUAUCUAAAUUUGUAUUCUGAUGCUUUGAUUUUUAUGUUUGGCUAGAUCCCAGGCAAUUACUUUGUUAUUUUUGAUUGGUUAUUCGGAAAUAAAUGAAGUCUAUUAUUCAGAAAAAUAAUUACCUGCAAAAAUCGCACUCCAUUUUCAAUUAUUCGUAUCCAAAAUCUUACAAAAAGAUAAUAAUAUUCCGAUCUAAUUAAAAAACGACACGUAAGCAGACAAGUCCACACGAAACCUACCUAAAAGCGCAAAACAAAAAAGAAAAAGAAAAAGAAACACGUUCAUUUAAUUUAUCACGAUACGAUAAAUGCUUAAUAAAAUGUCAUAUCAAUUUCACCAUCAAAACUAGGGUAUUUUCUUUAAUUAUAUUAAAGAAUUUUUUUAAAAGCAAAUAAAAACAAAAAAAAAAAAGCAACAAGUGUACUGGAACUCACCGCUCCCAAUUUCCCAAUGAAUAAAAUAAAUAUAAAGGACUCGUGCGUGCCUUCCAUUUACCUCCUGUUUUUGUCACCCGCCUCUUCCUCAUCUCGCCACCUGUUUCCCCCACUACACCCCCAAGACGUCACCGUUUCAUUCUCACUCCUUCCUCACACCCCUCUACUUUUCCCCACAUUCCUUCGUUUAGUAUCAACUCAAAAAUUCGUUUUUUUAACAUUAAUAAUAAUAAUUUUAUUGAAAUAAAUCAAUCAAAAAGGUAACCCCAAAUAUCUCCUCCAGCUUUUUGCUGCUUCUUAAUUUUGAUCGACUAUGACGAUGUACUAAAGCUUCAAUUUUUUUCAGUUUUUUCAGUCAACGCUUUUGCUUCAAGAUUUCGUUUUACCUUCCUUGAAAAUUAAAGCUCACCUAAUUGAUACGAUUAAAAUUCUUUUUUUAGCUGAAGAUUGAUACAAUUUUCACUUCAUUUUUUUCUUAACUUUGUAUCCGGAUUUGCUACUU